CCGCCGAACCUGUUCGGAGGCUGCCACUGUUCUGGUUCAGCCGUUCCUCUUUUGGUUCGAGUUGUUGAGAUUGUUGCGAAAGUGGCUUGGAACCGAGGUUUUGGCUGCCGGGAUUUUGAUUGUUGAUUUCGGGUCGAGGCGGAAAGGAUUAUGUGAUGCGUUUGGGCUAUGCUUUUGCGUUUUGAGGAUAUGGCGCAGAAGGUAUGAAGAGUUCAUUUAGUUGUUAUUGAGAUGCUCUGUAUUGCUUUAGUAUAUUUUUGUUCCCUCGCCUUUAUCUUGAUACAUUCUGUAAGAGGGAUAGGAAU
This is a non-coding RNA of Arachis ipaensis, 305 nucleotides long. The record is from RefSeq and is a predicted model, not a curated record. NCBI's taxonomy places the organism in Eukaryota, Viridiplantae, Streptophyta, Magnoliopsida, Fabales, Fabaceae.